This 1226-nucleotide long non-coding RNA is filed under the name Cricetulus griseus (Chinese hamster). Its description in RNAcentral is "lncRNA (ENSCGRG00015033069.1)". The record is from RNAcentral. Lineage: Eukaryota; Metazoa; Chordata; Mammalia; Rodentia; Cricetidae.
AGGAGUCAAGGAGGAUUCUGGGAAAUGUAGUAAAAGGAAGUCUUGUGAUACAGAUAGGAAGUGACAUAGCAGGCAGACUCAUAUAUAAGCAAGGGCAAGAAGGAAGUCAUUCCUUUUACUCUUCUUCCUGCUCUCUGCUCUGGAGCUGCCAUGUGGUCCUGGCAAGAGAAGACGCCUGCAGCUGGCAUCAGAUAAGAUAAUUCUUUAUGACUGCGCUAGCAAAAAAAGAGAACGCUCCAAGCUUGGGGCAGUCUUUACCCCCUGGUGUGGUUGAAGAUUAGGUUUGAGGCUGUGUUUCUGAACUACAAACAGAGUGGUGGGGCAGAAGAAGGAAGGACUCCACCCCCACUCCCAGCCCCAGAGGCUGGUCUCUGAGGGCCACCGAUCCCAUGAGCCUGCAUGGAGUCCUUGGAGUUCGUCUGAAGCUGCAGAUGAAAAGCAGGUCCUCAGGCCUGGGAAGACAGCCUUCCUCUUUGUUUUGAGCUGAAGUCACUUGGAUGUCUAAGGAGUUAUUUCCAUUCCAGCCCCCACCCCACCCCACCCAGCUUACUUGCAGUACUGUGGAUAAACCUGGGACCUGAGCUUGCUAAGCCGGCAAUCCACCGCUGAGCCACGUUCCUAGCUCCCAAUGCCUUACUUUGAAUGUCUUUCUGCAGCCAACAGCCUUCUCAUCCCCCAUUACCAGCUAAAAAGCCUGCCUCCCUCACUCCACUCCGCCUGCCCCUACUCUAUUCCAGUGCUGUGGCCUCUACGUGAACAGACCUCGCGUUCCCCUUUAUGGCAUUUUGUGUAGCUUGUUUUAUUGUUAGGAAACAGAAUCAGUAGAGAGCACCCAUCUGGCCAGGGCAGUGUGGAUAGAGCCUGUUUCCCACAGGAAAAGAGGGCAGAGGGUAGACUGCUUGGAGUGUGUGCCAGGCUCUCAACCACAAUGCUUCAAAAAGAAGGGGCAAGAAACAAGAGCAUGGGCUACAAAAAAAUGGGAUCCUCUAGGGGUGCUGUGGGCACGUGAUAUCAGGCCACUAUCGUCAGAUGUGAGCGCCAGACCUCUGAGAGGUCACAAGAGGCUGAAAAACUAUGUUUCUUAGAAAGGGUCUCACUGUGUAGCCCUCACACUCGCUAUGCAGACCAGGCUGGCCUCAAGCUCACGGAAUCUACCUGCCUUUGCCUUCCUAGUGCUGGACUUAAAGGCUUGCGCCCCCAUGCCUGGCUGGAAAAAAAAAUAAACC